AGGACGAACGCUGGCGGCGUGCUUAACACAUGCAAGUCGAGCGGAAAGGCCACUUCGGUGGUACUCGAGCGGCGAACGGGUGAGUAACACGUGAGUAAUCUGCCCUUCACUUGGGGAUAACCUCCGGAAACGGUGGCUAAUACCCGAUACGACCUCCGAUCGCAUGAUCUGGUGGUGGAAAGUUUUUUCGGUGGGGGAUGUGCUCGCGGCCUAUCAGCUUGUUGGUGGGGUAAUGGCCUACCAAGGCUUCGACGGGUAGCCGGCCUGAGAGGGUGACCGGCCACACUGGGACUGAGACACGGCCCAGACUCCUACGGGAGGCAGCAGUGGGAAAUCUGCGCAAUGGGCGAAAGCCUGACGCAGCCAUGCCGCGUGAAUGAUGAAGGUCUUAGGAUUGUAAAAUUCUUUCAACCGGGAAGAUAAUGACGGUACCGAGAAGAACGCCCGGCUAACUCGUGCCAGCAGCCGC
This 469-nucleotide ribosomal RNA is filed under the name uncultured soil bacterium. RNAcentral's name for it is "bacterial SSU rRNA". It matches the Rfam family "Bacterial small subunit ribosomal RNA", at positions 26 to 518 of the family's 1533-position model. The record is from RNAcentral.